Molecule: long non-coding RNA, 996 nt
Organism: Solanum pennellii
Lineage: Eukaryota; Viridiplantae; Streptophyta; Magnoliopsida; Solanales; Solanaceae
Exons: 2
Source: RefSeq, a predicted model, not a curated record
CUUUUAGUUCCUAGCCCAACAUACAAUACAGGGCAACAACUAUAUGCACACCAAACGUGACCCCACCCCUAUACCGUUUGUUCUUCUUCUCCAAAAGUUCAAUGAAACCCAGUUCACGCGCUGAAAAGUCCAGAAAAACUCGAGCAAAGCAGCGAACCAGACGACACCAAAAUAUAGUGACCCUCGUUCUCUCUUACACUUGCGCGUGGUCCUCUUCUCUCGUACAUGAAGCAAUUAAGAGAUUCAGUCCAUGUGGCUCUAUCUCUUUGCACGAUUGUCCUUUUCUCAAAAUCGACGGCCUCUAUUAUCAAUCCAUUGGGAACUGGUACAAUUCAUGCUGCAACCUUAUCUCUCAAGGAUGGACUUGAAUUUCGAAUGGGGAAAAUCUCUCGAAAUCCCUCCCAAAUUCCCCCCAAGUCUGACCUAGAUUUUCUUCUAUAAAUUCCCCAUCUUCUUCUUUAUUUCGAGGUUGGGGAAAAAACUGAGUUAAUAGGUUAUGAAAAAUAAAAGAGGAAGAAACCGGAAGAAAGUAGCACUCUAGUAACCACAUUUUUAGAUUUUUUUUCUUUCGGAAGCUUUCGUCGGAGCUUCUAAAAUUUAUAGUAGUUUCAUCGUAUAUAGAUUCCAAAAAGAAUCACGAGUUACUUUUAAUCUUGGUUUCUCGCUUAUUCACUAUUCUCCGAAGUUCUUGGAUUCUCAUUGUGGUCGUGGAAAACUUUUUCCCUGCUCGUCUGUCUUAGUCGCUGCUCAGCAAGAGGUCUUAGUAGAAGCCACAAGUGGCGAUCAAUCAUGGGAUCUUUUGCAUAUUGUAGAUAUCAAAGACGAGGGUGAGCACUUGGAGUCUUGGUCCAACCUGUCUCGUUCUAUACAUAUCUUGAUAAGGCUAAUUGUUGUCCUCUUUUGGGACUUAUAUUUUUCUUAUUAGAUAGCUCUGUACUUAUGACUUACUGGUUAUGAAGGGUUUCCAUUAAAUAUAUCUUCUAGUUUGCUUUCUAA